Molecule: long non-coding RNA, 2080 nt
Organism: Marmota monax (woodchuck)
Lineage: Eukaryota; Metazoa; Chordata; Mammalia; Rodentia; Sciuridae
Exons: 3
Source: RefSeq, a predicted model, not a curated record
GAUCUUCACUUCCAAAGGAUAAUUUCUCUGGAUGCAGAAUUCUAAGUUGGAGGGAUUUUUCUUUCAGUACCUUAGAUAUUUCAUUCCUAUCUCUUCUUGUUUGCAUGGUUUCUAAGGAGAGCUCAGAUGUAAUUUUCAUCCUUGUUUCUCUACAGGGAAGGAAUUUUUAAACUCUAACUUCUUUCAAGAUUUACUCUUUGUCUUGGUUUUCUACAAUUUGAAUAUGGUAUGCCUAAGUUCUAGAAGUUUUUCAUCAUUCCAGAUGGAAAAACUCUGUGCCAUUAAGAAGUCACUCUUCAUUGCUCCCUGCUCCCACUGGCACCUGCUAAUAUGGUCUCUAUUACUACGGAUUUUACCUAUUCUGGAUACUUCAUAUAAAUUGAAUCAUACAGUGACCAGAACAAUGUUGAAAGGAAGAAAGGAAGCUAUAGUAACAUGCAAAGCAGAUCUGUCUUUAGGAAAUAGUCUGCUUGGAUCCAGAUUCAAGAGUUGGAUCUUUUCAUUCAACUUACAUUUUAUGGGUACCAUCAUGUGUCACUUACCCAAGGUAUACAUUCUGAAAACUUCAUCAUCGGGUAUCACUGUUAUGAACAUCAUAGAGUAUACUCACACAAACUUACAUGGUAUAGCCUACAACAAAUCUAGGAUAUGGCAUAUACCAUCAUGUAUGCAUUGACUAAACCAUAGUUAUUGGCUCAUGGUGGUACUUUUGCCAAGUAUUUUUUGAGAUUAGGAUAAGAGUUGAAUAAGAUUUAGUCCCCGCCCUGGAAGAGUUCAUAUUUUUGUGAGAAAUACAAAUAUAUAAACAAAUAAUUACCAUAUUAAACAUUGUAAGUACUAGAAUAGAGGUAUUCUAGAAACAUAUGUGAGCCUAAAGUAUCAGAAAAAAAUCCUCAUGGAUAGAAUAUUUGAGCUAAAUAUUGAAGCAUAAGGAGAAAUUUACUAGGCAGACAUUAGAAAGAAUGCCAUGAGGAAGGGUAGAGAAGGAAAAGAAACAUGAAUUAUUUGGAAACCAUCAGAAAGUUUCCCCUAAUUAUAAUGGUACAUGUAUGAUGAUGAAAUUGUAAAGGUAGAAUGACAUUAUAAAAAAUCAUGGAGUUUGGGUUUUAUCGUGUUAAUUACAAACUUCACUUACUCAUAUUCUUUUUUCUUUAAAUACAUGACAAUAGUGGAAUGCAUUACACUCAUUAUUGCCCAUGUACAGCACAAUUUUUUGUAACUCCGUAUAUAAAGUAUGUUCACACCAAAUUAUGCCAUUAUACAUGUACUCUUUUUUUUUUUUGCAUUGAAAUUCUUUUUUUUAAAUAUUUAUUUUUUAGGUGUAGAUGAACACAACACAAUGCCUUUAUUUUUAUGUGGUGCUGAGGAUGGAACCCAGGUCCCGCCCAUGCUAGGCGAGCGCUCUACCACUGAGCCACAAUCCCAGCCUCUGCAUUACAAUUCUUAAUACACAUAUAUACCACAAUUUUUCAUAUGUCUGUUUAUAUAUAAGGUAUGUUGACACCAAAUUCAGAUCUUUAUACAUGUAUUUUGUAUAAUGAUGACCCUCACAUUCCACCAUCCUUGCUAUUUUAGUUGUAUAUGAACACAAUGCCUUUGCUUAUUUAUUUUUAUGUGAUGCUAAGGAUUGAACCCCGUUCCCCACAUGUGCUAGGCAAGUGCUCUACCACUGAGCUGCAACCUCAGGCCUUACUUCUCAUAUUCUAUCUUCAACAUUUUAAUGUCUAAAAAUUAGGCAAUAGUAUCUUUGAAUUCAUGUGUUUUAUGAUGUGUUUCUUAAUAUAUCAAAAUAAAACUAUACCUAUUAAAAUAUAUUUGUACUACCUGUAAUCACUUUGUGGACUUUUCUAUACCCCUACUGUAUACAAAGCUAAGUCAAAAGCAUUGUUUGAGAGAAAUUGGGUAGAGGAGUAAAACAGGAACUAUUUUAAAGGCUGUCAAAAUAAUGAUGUUAAAAUCUUGAACUAAAAAUAGCUUUAUUGGCAAGGGUGGAAAAGAAGGGAAGGGAUUUUAAAAGAGAUAGGACUUAAGAAAGGAUAGGAUUUAUGAUUAAUUAGAGGAAGGUAGGGAUAUUUAUGAA